GACGAACGCUGGCGGCGUGCUUAACACAUGCAAGUCGAGCGGUAAGGCCCUUUCGGGGGUACACGAGCGGCGAACGGGUGAGUAACACGUGGGUGACCUGCCCUUAGCUCUGGGGUAAGCCUGGGAAACUGGGUCUAAUACCGGAUAUGACUCCAUAACGCAUGUUGUGGGGUGGAAAGCCUUGUGCGGCUAGGGAUGGGCCCGCGGCCUAUCAGCUUGUUGGUGGGGUGAUGGCCUACCAAGGCGACGACGGGUAGCCGGCCUGAGAGGGCGACCGGCCACACUGGGACUGAGACACGGCCCAGACUCCUACGGGAGGCAGCAGUGGGGAAUCUUGCGCAAUGGGCGAAAGCCUGACGCAGCGACGCCGCGUGGGGAUGAC
This 382-nucleotide ribosomal RNA is filed under the name uncultured bacterium. Its description in RNAcentral is "bacterial SSU rRNA". It matches the Rfam family "Bacterial small subunit ribosomal RNA", at positions 28 to 412 of the family's 1533-position model. The record is from RNAcentral.